This 489-nucleotide ribosomal RNA is filed under the name uncultured bacterium. RNAcentral describes it as "partial 16S ribosomal RNA". It matches the Rfam family "Bacterial small subunit ribosomal RNA", at positions 30 to 507 of the family's 1533-position model. The record is from RNAcentral.
UUGAACGCUGGCGGCAGGCCUAACACAUGCAAGUCGAACGGUAACAGAAAGCAGCUUGCUGCUUUGCUGACGAGUGGCGGACGGGUGAGUAAUGUCUGGGAAACUGCCUGAUGGAGGGGGAUAACUACUGGAAACGGUAGCUAAUACCGCAUAACGUCGCAAGACCGAAGAGGGGGACCUUCGGGCCUCUUGCCAUCGGAUGUGCCCAGAUGGGAUUAGCUAGUAGGUGGGGUAACGGCUCACCUAGGCGACGAUCCCUAGCUGGUCUGAGAGGAUGACCAGCCACACUGGAACUGAGACACGGUCCAGACUCCUACGGGAGGCAGCAGUGGGGAAUAUUGCACAAUGGGCGCAAGCCUGAUGCAGCCAUGCCGCGUGUAUGAAGAAGGCCUUCGGGUUGUAAAGUACUUUCAGCGGGGAGGAAGGGAGUAAAGUUAAUACCUUUGCUCAUUGACGUUACCCGCAGAAGAAGCACCGGCUAACUCCGUG